Long non-coding RNA from Rosa rugosa (rugosa rose), 1106 nucleotides. RefSeq lists it as uncharacterized. The record is from RefSeq and is a predicted model, not a curated record. NCBI's taxonomy places the organism in Eukaryota, Viridiplantae, Streptophyta, Magnoliopsida, Rosales, Rosaceae. The transcript has 2 exons.
UUAGUUUGGGAUUGAUUCCUGAGGUGCUUUUGGAGCUGCUUCUGCUUUUGGGCCAAGAACAUGGUGUUUGGUAAAAUCUCUAAAAGCUGCUUUUGGUUGAAAUUGCUUCUCCGUAAAGCUGAAUUUGGGAAGCUACAAUUUGUAGCUUUUGAAGACCUGCUUUGGGAAAACACGGAGCAUGAACAGUAGAGUUUAAUGAAAAUUUAGAGAACUGCCAAUUCUAUCCUCCUCCUUUUCUGAAAAUUACAUCGAAACAGAUUGGUCCAUCGCGAGGCAGACAUCUCAUUCAUAGCCUUCUUUGAUAUCACCCCAAAAUCCAAAACCCACAAUUGCUGCAUCAAAAUUCCAUUACAAAACCCACCCACCCAUUUUUAGUAUCUGAUUUUCGAAUCAUCUAUAUAUAAUUUUAUCCAAAGAAUCCAAAUUUUUACACUGGAUUUCCGAUUCCUGGGUGCCCCCUGUCUUUGUCCACCCACCAAGAUCAAUCUCUAUCUCUCUCUCCAUUCCACCUAAAGGUCAUGGCAUUCGAUGAAACGACUUAAUCUUGAUUGACGCGUCGUUGAUGAAUCCAGCAACAUCGUCGAUGAAUCCAGCAACAUUAGUGAUAGUUCUUGCAAUUUUACUUGCAUUUGGCAAAAGUCAUUUAAGUAUAGCAUUGCACCAGUAGAGAGAAAACUUUCUGUACAGCUUAUUUAUGUUACCAUUGUUCUUUCUCUGGGUGUUAUUUUGCUGGUUGGUCUUUCAGCCUUUUAUAUAGAUGGAAUUUACUCAUCGACGCCCUCAAACCCUGUUUAAGUUGAAGUAAGGUUUUGCUCAGCAAAGGCUUGUUUCAGAGUCUUGGCAAUGAUUUUAGACUUGGUCACUGUAAUCUGGGUUAUUUUUCAUGUAAGCUCUGCGGUUACACUCAUGUCCUCUACUUCGGUUUACAAUGAAGUCAACUCUCAUCUAUGCAACAGAUUUAAUGUUCUACUCAUCUACUGUACCAUAAAAGGGGUGGUUAUAUACUUAUAUGAACAAUGUUCUCUUUUACAAAAUUUCUGUGUAAUAUUCUUGUCAGAGUGAAUAUAUAUCAAGGUCAUGUAUGCAGACCUAAUUUACAAUGCUAA